AUUGAACGCUGGCGGCAGGCCUAACACAUGCAAGUCGAGCGGAUGAAGGGAGCUUGCUCCUGGAUUCAGCGGCGGACGGGUGAGUAAUGCCUAGGAAUCUGCCUGGUAGUGGGGGAUAACGUCCGGAAACGGGCGCUAAUACCGCAUACGUCCUGAGGGAGAAAGUGGGGGAUCUUCGGACCUCACGCUAUCAGAUGAGCCUAGGUCGGAUUAGCUAGUUGGUGGGGUAAAGGCCUACCAAGGCGACGAUCCGUAACUGGUCUGAGAGGAUGAUCAGUCACACUGGAACUGAGACACGGUCCAGACUCCUACGGGAGGCAGCAGUGUGGAAUAUUGGACAGUGGGCGAAAGCCUGAUCCAGCCAUGCCGCGUGUGUGAAGAAGGUCUUCGGAUUGUAAAGCACUUUAAGUUGUGAGGAAGGGCAGUAAGUUAAUACCUUGCUGUUUUGACGUUACCAACAGAAUAAGCACCGGCUAACUUCGUG
This 484-nucleotide ribosomal RNA is filed under the name uncultured bacterium. RNAcentral's name for it is "partial 16S ribosomal RNA". It matches the Rfam family "Bacterial small subunit ribosomal RNA", at positions 30 to 507 of the family's 1533-position model. The record is from RNAcentral.